AUAAACGCUGGCGGCGUGCAUGAGACAUGCAAGUCGAACGAAGGAUCGGGCUUGCUCGAUCCUUAGUGGCGGACGGCUGAGUAACGCGUAGGUGACCUACCCCGAAGUGGGGAAUAACUGCCCGAAAGGGUGGCUAAUACCGCAUGUGGUCGCACGUUCAUUCGUGCGAGUAAAGCCGCAAGGCGCUUCGGGAGGGGCCUGCGUCCGAUUAGCUCGUUGGUGGGGUAAUGGCUUACCAAGGCGACGAUCGGUAGGUGGUCUGAGAGGACGAUCACCCAGACUGGGACUGAGACACGGCCCAGACUCCUACGGGAGGCAGCAGUCGGGAAUUUUGCUCAAUGGGGAAACCCUGAAGCAGCAACGCCGCGUGAGGGAUGAAGGCCUUCGGGUUGUAAACCUCUUUUGUCAGGGACGAUGAUGACGGUACCUGGCGAAUAAGCCACGGCUAACUACGUG
RNAcentral lists this ribosomal RNA (456 nucleotides) under uncultured bacterium. Its description in RNAcentral is "partial 16S ribosomal RNA". It matches the Rfam family "Bacterial small subunit ribosomal RNA", at positions 29 to 507 of the family's 1533-position model. The record is from RNAcentral.